Molecule: RNA transcript, 6515 nt
Organism: Nerophis lumbriciformis (worm pipefish)
Lineage: Eukaryota; Metazoa; Chordata; Actinopteri; Syngnathiformes; Syngnathidae
Gene: madd
Gene name: MAP-kinase activating death domain
Source: RefSeq, a predicted model, not a curated record
GAACUGCCCACACGGAUGAGGACGAAGAGGAGGAUGUUGUGAGGGAAGGUAGGAGCGGGUUGAGCAAGGAGGUGGACAAGCUAUAUGCAUCCUCUUUUUUUAUUUUUUAUCCAUGGCGCGAAGGUUGGCUCUUACGUUCUUUAUGUAUUUUAACGUUACACGGCGCUGCGAGAGGAAGAGACCGACUACUCCCCUCUCUCUCUGACCGAGAAGGGCAUCUCCUAGGCGGGCCGUCAUUACCAGCAGCGGUCGCAGCAGCUGGCGUCUCAACGGCGCAGUGAAGCUAGCAGGCUAAUGUCAGCAGGUCUUCUGGAAUCCUAAAAAACGAUGAUAGAAACACAGCACUUUCACAACCUGACUGAAAUCCACCGUUGAAUCACUCGUGGCCAUUCAUCACGGAUGUCGUGAAAUACACGACGUGUUCGAUUCAACAUGGAGAAAAAGAAAAUGUGCCCACGACUCCUGGACUACUUGGUAGUGGUCGGUGCAAGGCAGCCGAGUAGUGAUAGUGUGGCCCAGACACCUCAGCUCCUCCGCCGAUACCCACUGGAGGACCACCGGGACUUUCCACUCCCACCAGAUGUGGUGUUCUUUUGCCAACCGGAAGGAUGUCUGAGUAUACGCCAGCGAAGGGUUAGCCUUCGCGACGACUCCUCAUUUGUUUUCACGCUGACCGACAAAGACUCAGGAAUUACUCGCUACGGAAUCUGCGUCAACUUCUACCGAUCAUUUCAGCGCGGGCAUCACCGUGCCCGUGCGGACAAGAGCGGUCACACAGAGACAGCAACGCGAGGGGGGGACUCUAUGAGCGAGGGGUCCGAUGGUAGCAGUGGAGGCCAGUCUUCUGUGUUGUCAGCGCCCAAGAAAGAUGAGUCAGCUCCUCAGCCUGCUUCUGGUGAUGACGUUGAACAGCAAAGUACUGAACUAAAUACUGAAAAAGCUGGCCAGCUCAAACAAAAUGCAGAUAAAAUGGCUGCCAGGAAUCGCAACAGUACACUGACGUCACUAUGCAUACUCAGCCACUACCCAUUCUUCUCCACCUUCAGGGAAUGUCUAAGUAUUCUCAAGAGAAUGGUGGACUGCUGUAGUCAGAGGUUAACACAGCGUGCUGGACUGCCCCACACUUUCCAAAGGGACACCAUGUGGCGCGUAUUCACUGGGGCGCUUUCAGUGGAAGAGAAGGGUAGCCAGCUGUUGGCUGACCUGCGGGACAUUGAAUCCUGGAUAUACAGGUUGCAACGGUCCCCAGUCCCUGUGGCAGGUCAAAGACGUGUGGAUGUGGAAGUUCUGCCCCAUGAAAUGAAACGGCCUCUCACCUUUGCCCUACCUGACAACUCCCGCUUCUCGAUGGUUGAUUUCCCUUUGCAUUUGCCUUUGGAGUUGCUAGGUGUGGAUGCCUGUCUACAGGUGCUUGCCUGUGUCCUGCUCGAGCACAAGGUUAUUCUCCAGUCUCGAGAUUACAAUGCUCUAUCCAUGAGUGUAAUGGCAUUUGUGGCCAUGAUCUACCCUUUGGAGUACAUGUUCCCUGUCAUCCCCCUAUUGCCAACAUGCAUGACCUCUGCUGAACAGCUCCUUCUUGCCCCUACUCCCUAUAUUAUUGGUGUACCAGCUAGUUUCUUCCUUUACAAAGCCGACUUCAAAAUUCCAGAUGAUGUAUGGCUUGUAGAUCUGGACAGCAGCAAAGUUACAGCACCUACAAACGCGGAGAGUCUGCCAUAUCUUCCAGAGCCAGAAGCUGGCGAGCUUAAGAAACAUCUGAAGCAGUGUCUGCUUAGGUUGACUGUGAUCACCCAAAAGCAGAUCUUCUCCUGUGAAAAUAAGGCCUUGGCGAGUAUGAGUUUAAACACCCAGCCCAUUUUGAACUUGGAGAAGUUUCAGGAAGGUCAUGAAAUGCCUCUGCUUCCUCCUGGACGUGAUAAAGCCUCUCCAUCAUCCACGGAGUUCAACCCCCUCAUUUACGGCAAUGAUGUUGAUUCUGUGGAUGUAGCCACCAGGGUGGCGAUGGUACGGUUCUUCAACUCCCAAAAUGUUCUCCAUGGUUUUCAAAUGCACACAAGGACUUUGCGCCUCUUCCCACGCCCCGUGGUGGCUUUCCAGUCAUCGUAUUUUCUUGCGUCUCGACCGAGGCGCUCAAGUUUUGCCGAUAAGCUUUCCCACACACAAGCCGUGGAGUUUUAUGGAGAGUGGGCUCUCAAUCCGACUAACCUCGCAUUUCACAGGAUACAUAAUAAUGUGUUUGACCCGUCUUUAAUCGGCGACAAACCCAAGUGGUAUGCUCACCAGCUUCAACCAGUGGUUUAUAGAGUGUUUGAUGGAAACUCGCAGCUGGUUGAGGCUAUGGCAAGUCCAUUUGAGGAUGAGAGCAAUGACUCUGAUCCUACAGACAGCGGUAGUGACAGUGAGGCAUAUGAUGACUCAAGUUCAUCCUAUUCCUCACUUGGAGACCUUGUAAGUGAGAUGAUACAAGGAGAUAUUCAGGGUGACACACCAAACUCUUCAGGCCUAGAACCACACACCCAUGCUGCUCUGGGAGACGCAAGUGAGGUGGAGUUUCAAGACUUUCGGGACUUCAGAGACGGACAUGGCCCAGGGAGUUCAUCGAGCGGGGACGGUCCUGCAGAACAUUCAGAUGGACAGCCCCAUCGCUCAAGCUCCAGCACAACUGCAAGCUCCAGUCCCAGCACUAUCAUCCAGGGAGUUAACAAUGACCAAGGGGAAGCACCUGAUAGUGAGGCACCAGCCGCCUCCGCCCCACAGAACCCUGUCCCAGGAGUUGGUAGCCAGCCAUUUUUGAGACCUACAGCUGACGCUAGCCUGGGGGACUCGGCAAUACGAAAACGAGAGUAUGACAACCCCUAUUUUGAGCCUCAGUAUGGCUUCCCCUCUGAAGAUGAUCCUGAUGCAGAAGAACAAGUGGAGUCAUACACCCCUCGAUUCAACCAGAACCUCAAUGGCAACAAGGCUCAGCGUCCUUCACGUCCCAGUAGUCUGAGACUUCCUGGGGAGUCAGACGGAGAGGGAGAUUCUCAUAACAGCUCACCAAACUCAACUAUUUCCAACAGCAGCAAUGAUGGAUUUGGAGGACUGAUGUCCUUUGCAAGUAAUCUUUACAAGAACCAUGGCACUAGUUUCAGUCUGUCCCAUCUUGCUCUACCCAACAAAGCUGCAAGAGAGAAAUCAACACCUUUCCCCAGCCUCAAAGAAUAUUUGAGUUUUGAUAUUGAGGAGGAGAAGAACCAAGCAGAUACGCCUGACAGCCCGGCAGGUGCUCGUGCACCUCGGGCACUUGUGGAUCAGAAGUCUUCUGUCAUCAAGCACAGCCCAACAGUGAAGAGGGAAUCACCAUCUCCUCAGGGUGGCAACAACACAAGUGAAAACCAGCAGUUCUUAAAGGAGGUUGUACAGAGUGUUUUAGAUGGACAAGGAGUCGGCUGGCUCAACAUGAAAAAAGUACGCCGCCUGUUGGAGAAUGAGCAGCUCCGCGUCUUUGUGUUAAGUAAACUGAAUAGAGCCACCCAGUCCGAGGAAGAUUCCAGACAGGAGAUCAUACGUGAUGUGGAAAUCAGCAGGAAGGUGUACAAGGGCAUGCUGGACAUCUUGAAGUGUACGGUGUCCAGCUUGGAACAUUCCUACACAAAUGAGGUCGUUGGAGGAAUGGCCAGUGUGUUCAUUGUAUUGGAGAUAGCACGCACACAUUAUCAAACCAAAGACCCGGAAAAGCGCAAGCGAAGCCCCACAGACAGUGCUAGUAGCCCAGGGAGUAAAGAGAGUCCUUCCGGUCGCAUGGAGGCUGCCAAACCUCAAGGUCUUCUCAACGUUCCCCAUCUGCAGCUACCUCAUCACACUACGGGCAGAGGGGCCCGCCAUUUUGAUACCCGGAGUCUGAAUGAAGAAAACUUUAUUGCCUCCAUUGAAUUGUGGAGCAAGCACCAGGAUAAGCAAAAAUCUAUGGAAAAACCACAGAGGGCUGAAGGGGCAAAGCAGCAGCGCCCUCAGGUGACCGAUGCAGAGGAGAAGAAAUCACAGAUCAGUGCUGAUAGUGGUCUCAGUGUCACAUCUGCGUCUCAGAAGAGCGACACAGAGUCCGUAACAAGUUCAGAACCUCCCAUCUUGACGAGAAGUACCAGCCAAGACUCUGAGGCGAGCACGGUGAUAAGCUUCAGCUCUGGAGAGACACUGGGUGCUGACAGUGACUUGAGCAGCACGGCGGGAGAUGGCCUGGGUGGGAGAAGCGCUCUGCAUUUAGCUCAGUCCAGAGGGACCCUCUCUGACAGUGAGAUUGAAACAAACCCUGCCACCAGCUCAGUCUUUGGAAAGACUCAUACACUGAAACCAGGGGCAAAAGAGCACGCAACUGCAACGGCAAAGGGGAUGCCCACUCAACCUAUGGAGGAUAUCAGUAUGAGGAUCUAUCUUUGCGAAGGCCUGCUUGGCCGUGAUAAGAGCUCCGUUUGGGAUCAACUAGAGGAUGCUGCCAUGGAAACCUUUUCGCUAAGUAAAGAGCGCUCAACGCUUUGGGACCAGGUGCAGUUCUGGGAGGAUGUCUUCUUAGAUGGUGUCAUGUUAGAGCGUGAAGGGAUGGGAUUGGACCAGGGACCCCAAGAGAUGAUUGAAAGGUACCUGUCAUUGGGAGAACAUGACCGCAAGCGUCUGGAGGACGAUGAGGACAAACUGCUGACUACCUUGCUGCACAACAUGGUUGCAUACAUGCUCAUGAUGAAAGUGAGCAAAAAUGACAUCAGGAAAAAAGUGAGACGUUUGAUGGGAAAGUCCCACAUUGGCCUCACCUACAGCCAAGAGAUCAAUGAGCUGCUGGACAAAUUGGCCCAAAUGAACGGCCGUGAGCUGUCGAUCAGGGCCUGUGGGAGCCGUCAUAUCAAGAAGCAAACGUUUGUUGUACAUGCUGGUACUGAUACAACCGGCGACCUUUUUUUCAUGGAGGUCUGUGACGACUGCAUAGUCCUGCGUAGCAAUAUUGGCACGGUGUAUGAGCGCUGGUGGUACGAAAAGCUCAUCAACAUGACUUACUGCCCCAAGACCAAGGUUUUAUGUCUCUGGAGACGCAACGGCCAAGAGACACAGCUCAAUAAGUUCUAUACCAAAAAGUGUCGCGAACUCUACUACUGUGUUAAAGAUAGUAUGGAAAGAGCUGCAGCCAGACAGCAAAGCUCAAAACCAGGCCCAGAGUUGGGGGGAGAGUUCCCAGUCCAGGACAUGAAAACUGGCGAGGGAGGAUUGCUGCAAGUCACGCUGGAAGGAAUCAACCUGAAAUUCAUGCACAGUCAGGUUUUCAUAGAGCUGAGUCACAUAAAAAAGUGCAAUACAGUGAAGGGAGUCUUUGUCCUGGAGGAAUUUGUUCCUGAAACUAAAGAAGUGGUGAUCCACAAGUACAAGACCCCCAUGGCACAUCAGAUCUGUUACUCCGUCCUCUGUCUGUUCUCCUACGUGGCAGCUGUGAAGGGGAAGGAGGCAGACGGAAAAGCCAAGAUUCUCUCCCCAAGACCCCUUCCUAGCUAGUGCCCGCCCUCCCUCCCCACCUGCCCCAGUUCUAUGUGCCUCUACCUGAAGCGGCGUCACUCAGCAGACAAAUCCCUUGGCGACCCGGAAGCACACAAACGUACACCACGUUUGGUCCCCCGAACCCCGGGAAAGGGGUCAUCUCUCCAAGCCCCUCGUCGAUUUGUCUUCAGUAACGAUGGAACCGAGUGCAUGCAGGUCCCAUGCACCCCACCCACUCCUGUUACCAUGGUGACGUGCAUACAUUAGUGACAUCACUGGCCGACCCUUUUUGUCCAACUACUGUUCUACUCCUAACCUCGUCUGUGCCCUGCUGUUUAUCACGUCUAGCAUGUUACAUGUGUGUGUGUAUAUAUAUAUAUAUAUAUAUAUAUAUAUAUAUCAUAUUUAUUUACAUUGUUGCUGUAUAUUUCACACUAAAAAUAAUAUAUCAACUAUGGAAUUGCUUAAAGCGCAAUACUGAGUAGUUCGCCAUUCCAGCAGCUUUCCGUCCUAUUUGGCGUUCACAGGGUCUAACAUAAUUUUUUUUUUUUUUCUUUGUAUUGCUCAACGUGAAUUUUAAAUAAUAAUAAUAAGUGUGAUUUCUUCUAAGUGUGAAGACAAUACAAUGUUCCUUCGGUGACGUGUGUGCAUUUCAGGUGAUCGGGAGUUUUUCUGUCUACUGUCCCCAAAGUGUCAUCCCUCAAGUCAAAUAUUGGUCACGUGACAUAAAGUUAAUUGGUUCCUGUAAAAAAUAUUAUUCUUCUGUGGAAAUGUGAACAUGAAUGCCGGAAUCAUCGCCGCUCCAAUUCAGGCUUGUUGUGCUUCGAGUCAUGUUGUCAUCGUGUGUGAGGAGAAACAUGAAAUGCCAAGUGCAGCGACGAUACUCGUUACAAACUGAUUGACAGAAAGCAGCACAGUAAUUUAUGCAUGACCAUGUCAAGGAAGCAAAAAGGCACAGGACUGACAAGCAGACAAUUGUCUUCCAGUCGUUCAUAAGUCACACAAACAUGGCAAAG